CAUGGUUCAUGGUAUAUUCUAAUCAAGUACUUCUUUGUUCGGAAUAUUUUGGUUUCAAGUUUCAUCAGUAAACUUCUUCCAAAUAUACACCUUUCAAGAUUUACCGAAUAAUUUGUGCCAAUUGCACGUAGGAGGAUUUUUAUUUAUGGAACACGGAACAGUUAAAUGGUUUAAUGCAGACAAAGGUUAUGGCUUCAUUACUCGCGACAACGGUAGCGAUGUAUUCGUACAUUUCUCAGCUAUCCAAGGCGACGGCUACAAGACUUUAGACGAAGGCCAAAGCGUAACAUUUGAUGUUGAAGACAGCGAUCGUGGCCCACAAGCUACUAACGUUGUUAAAGACUAAUUAUUAGUUUUUAAGGCACUCACUUUACGGUGAGUGUUUUUUU
This 389-nucleotide small RNA is filed under the name Loigolactobacillus backii. Its description in RNAcentral is "Lactobacillus backi cspA thermoregulator". It matches the Rfam family "cspA thermoregulator". Lineage: Bacteria; Bacillati; Bacillota; Bacilli; Lactobacillales; Lactobacillaceae. The record is from Rfam by way of RNAcentral.